UCCCUGAUGGUCCAGUGGCUAAGACUCUGCACUCCCAGUCCAGGGGGCCUGGGUUCAAUCCCUCGUCAGGGAA
Ovis aries (sheep) is the source of this 73-nucleotide transfer RNA. It matches the Rfam family "tRNA". Rfam says of the family: Transfer RNA (tRNA) molecules are approximately 80 nucleotides in length. Their secondary structure includes four short double-helical elements and three loops (D, anti-codon, and T loops). Further hydrogen bonds mediate the characteristic L-shaped molecular structure. tRNAs have two regions of fundamental functional importance: the anti-codon, which is responsible for specific mRNA codon recognition, and the 3' end, to which the tRNAs corresponding amino acid is attached (by aminoacyl-tRNA synthetases). tRNAs cope with the degeneracy of the genetic code in two manners: having more than one tRNA (with a specific anti-codon) for a particular amino acid; and 'wobble' base-pairing, i.e. permitting non-standard base-pairing at the 3rd anti-codon position. The record is from Rfam. Lineage: Eukaryota; Metazoa; Chordata; Mammalia; Artiodactyla; Bovidae.